GUCCGCCAGCCUCCCGAACCCGCCAAGGGUGCAACAGGAGGGGAGGCCAGCUCAGCCACAAGUGAGCAUGCCAGGGGGGAAGGGAGGCACCACAGCUAUAAAUGCCCAGGGGAGGGCCCCUGAAAGCCCGGGAAACUAUUAAACCCCUGAUUGGUGCACUCCUUCCCCCCCACCCAUGGGACAUACCACUAUAGUUACCAACAAGUUUUUACAGGCGGGGGAGGGGGCUAAAAAACAUUGCCUGUAUAUUUCUUAACCCCUUAACUGCUCACCAGUCAGGGGGCAAGCUAGUUAUGCACAGCUUGCCCCUCCAAACAUUAAACAAGAAUUGCAUCUGCUCCUAGGCUUAGGCUGGGAUUAAACACGAUUUAUGUGUGAUGUUUUUCAAAGCCCACAUUCAAAGCUUUAUUUUUGGUGGUUUCCCCCCCGCCGCCCCUUUCGAUAGACAUCUGCCCAGGGCAUGCUGGGAGUUGUAGUUUUGCAACAGAUGGACAGCCACAGGGGAUCAGUGGUGAUGUAUGUCAAUCUAGGACCAUGGUGUCUGAUCUUGAACUGGCAGCAGGAGCCACGACCACUUUAAAUCAGUGGCUGCCGGGAUGUCUGACGAGUGACAUCCUUCGCUCCAGACCACAACGUCAGGGAUGUCACUUGUCAGACGUCUUGGCAGCCAGCACUGCUCAUUGAGCCUGCCAGAGCCGCACUUAUCUGUGUAAGAAACCUAUGGGUCCAGGCUGUUGGGCCACCAAAUUAUAUUACAAAUACUGAGUGUCUGGUUAGGAGAAACAAGUAUUUUGCACCCACAGGGAGUAGCGCCAUUUUCAUUAAAAAAAAUGCCCCAAAUCCCUUAGAUAACAGUCAUACAGAAUAUAUUAGAAAGCUUUUUUGAUUUUCAGCCAAUCAGAGAGCAGCACUACUGAAAUAGAACUCUCAGGAGGUAACAGCGUGUCACACAUGUGAUGUCAUAACCAUUGUCCACCAGAGAGCAGCACUGAGCAGAUAUAACACUGCUCCUGCUCAUUCUUCAUCAGUGAGGGGCUGAUGCUGGACACUGUAGGGGCCGAGAAUGCAAAGUCACAUACACUACUGUGACUGAUAAUCCAUCUUUUGUUUUCCUAUCUUAGAUGCACUAUUUCCAGGAUGUGGAGUAGCAUUUCCGGACCUACAGCAAGACGUUGGAUGAAGACGUAGAUUUCCAGACCUAUUCCAGAAGAAUUUGGAUGAAGGCACAGCCCCUCGAAUCACGCACAUACACAGACACAUUUGCCCAAAUUCUAGAGGUAACCUCCUUUAGUAUGCCCAGAGGAAGGGCAAUACAGUAGCCAUGGAUUCCCUACAGGUUUCCUCCCCUCUGGAGGUUUUUCCUGUCCUGAGUAUUAGUUACUGUACGCUCUUUGUGAGUGAUGGAGGUUACAAAAAAUCCCCGACACAAACAUUUUUAUAUAUAAUAAAUAAAGUUCCCCUUUUUAAACCA
This is a long non-coding RNA of Hyla sarda, 1471 nucleotides long. RefSeq lists it as uncharacterized. The transcript is spliced from 2 exons. The record is from RefSeq and is a predicted model, not a curated record. NCBI's taxonomy places the organism in Eukaryota, Metazoa, Chordata, Amphibia, Anura, Hylidae.